GCCAGGCGCAGUGGUACGCGCCUGUGAUCCCAGCAGCUCGGGAGGCUGAGGCAGGAGGAUCGGGAGUUCAAAGCCAGCCUCAGCAAUGAUGAGGCACUAAGCAACUCAGUGAGACCCUGUCUCUA
RNAcentral lists this small RNA (125 nucleotides) under Marmota monax (woodchuck). The record is from RNAcentral. Lineage: Eukaryota; Metazoa; Chordata; Mammalia; Rodentia; Sciuridae.